Loxodonta africana (African savanna elephant) is the source of this 315-nucleotide unclassified non-coding RNA. Its record names the gene 7SK. It matches the Rfam family "7SK RNA". From Rfam's summary of the family: 7SK was discovered as an abundant small nuclear RNA in the mid-70s but a possible function has only recently been suggested. Two independent studies have found that 7SK RNA binds the CDK9/cyclin T complex (known as elongation factor P-TEFb). The record is from Ensembl. NCBI's taxonomy places the organism in Eukaryota, Metazoa, Chordata, Mammalia, Proboscidea, Elephantidae.
GGAAAAGCUAGGAUCCUGGCUAUGACAUCCAUUAUCCCCAUUGAUUUCUAGGACUUAGUUGUCUGAUCUUCCUGUCAGGAUAGUUGCUUCAUUUCUUUCUUAUCUACUCACCUUCUCCCAUCCUGAAGCUUUUUUCAGCUUCAGGAAAUGGCCUCCCUAAAGGUAAGACAUCAGUCUUUGGUUUAGGGUACAGCUGUAGCUAUUCUCCAUUACAAGAGUCUCCAAACAAGCUUCCAAGUGUCAUAUUUGAAUGAAGCUAUAAAUAAAGUGCUAAGAGAAUACAGAGUCCAGUAAGCGUAAUUUUUCGACCAUCUG